AAUGGGUCAGCGACUUAUAUUCUGUAGCAAGGUUAACCGAAUAGGGGAGCCGAAGGGAAACCGAGUCUUAACUGGGCGUUAAGUUGCAGGGUAUAGACCCGAAACCCGGUGAUCUAGCCAUGGGCAGGUUGAAGGUUGGGUAACACUAACUGGAGGACCGAACCGACUAAUGUUGAAAAAUUAGCGGAUGACUUGUGGCUGGGGGUGAAAGGCCAAUCAAACCGGGAGAUAGCUGGUUCUCCCCGAAAGCUAUUUAGGUAGCGCCUCGUGAAUUCAUCUCCGGGGGUAGAGCACUGUUUCGGCAAGGGGGUCAUCCCGACUUACCAACCCGAUGCAAACUGCGAAUACCGGAGAAUGUUAUCACGGGAGACACACGGCGGGUGCUAACGUCCGUCGUGAAGAGGGAAACAACCCAGACCGCCAGCUAAGGUCCCAAAGUCAUGGUUAAGUGGGAAACGAUGUGGGAAGGCCCAGACAGCCAGGAUGUUGGCUUAGAAGCAGCCAUCAUUUAAAGAAAGCGUAAUAGCUCACUGGUCGAGUCGGCCUGCGCGGAAGAUGUAACGGGGCUAAACCAUGCACCGAAGCUGCGGCAGCGACGCUUAUGCGUUGUUGGGUAGGGGAGCGUUCUGUAA
Molecule: ribosomal RNA, 632 nt
Filed under: Escherichia coli
Lineage: Bacteria; Pseudomonadati; Pseudomonadota; Gammaproteobacteria; Enterobacterales; Enterobacteriaceae
Description: partial 23S ribosomal RNA
Rfam family: Bacterial large subunit ribosomal RNA
Source: RNAcentral